UUAAGUUAUUAAGGGCGCACGGUGGAUGCCUUGGCACUAGAAGCCGAUGAAGGACGUUACUAACGACGAUAUGCUUUGGGGAGCUGUAAGUAAGCUUUGAUCCAGAGAUUUCCGAAUGGGGAAACCCAGCAUGAGUUAUGUCAUGUUAUCGAUAUGUGAAUACAUAGCAUAUCAGAAGGCACACCCGGAGAACUGAAACAUCUUAGUACCCGGAGGAAGAGAAAAGAAAAUUCGAUUCCCUUAGUAGCGGCGAGCGAAAACGGGAAGAGCCCAAACCAACAAGCUUGCUUGUUGGGGUUGUAGGACACUCUAUACGGAGUUACAAAAGACGACAUUAGACGAAUCAUCUGGAAAGAUGAAUCAAAGAAGGUAAUAAUCCUGUAGUCGAAAAUGUUGUCUCUCUUGAGUGGAUCCUGAGUACGACGGAGCACGUGAAAUUCCGUCGGAAUCUGGGAGGACCAUCUCCUAAGGCUAAAUACUCUCUAGUGACCGAUAGUGAACCAGUACCGUGAGGGAAAGGUGAAAAGCACCCCGGAAGGGGAGUGAAAUAGAACCUGAAACCGUGUGCUCACAAGUAGUCAGAGCCCGUUAAUGGGUGAUGGCGUGCCUUUUGUAGAAUGAACCGGCGAGUUACGAUUUGAUGCAAGGUUAAGCAGUAAAUGUGGAGCCGUAGCGAAAGCGAGUCUGAAUAGGGCGUUUAGUAUUUGGUCGUAGACCCGAAACCAGGUGAUCUACCCUUGGUCAGGUUGAAGUUCAGGUAACACUGAAUGGAGGACCGAACCGACUUACGUUGAAAAGUGAGCGGAUGAACUGAGGGUAGCGGAGAAAUUCCAAUCGAACCUGGAGAUAGCUGGUUCUCUCCGAAAUAGCUUUAGGGCUAGCCUCAAGUGAUGAUUAUUGGAGGUAGAGCACUGUUUGGACGAGGGGCCCCUCUCGGGUUACCGAAUUCAGACAAACUCCGAAUGCCAAUUAAUUUAACUUGGGAGUCAGAACAUGGGUGAUAAGGUCCGUGUUCGAAAGGGAAACAGCCCAGACCACCAGCUAAGGUCCCAAAAUAUAUGUUAAGUGGAAAAGGAUGUGGCGUUGCCCAGACAACUAGGAUGUUGGCUUAGAAGCAGCCAUCAUUUAAAGAGUGCGUAAUAGCUCACUAGUCGAGUGACACUGCGCCGAAAAUGUACCGGGGCUAAACAUAUUACCGAAGCUGUGGAUUGUCCUUUGGACAAUGGUAGGAGAGCGUUCUAAGGGCGUUGAAGCAUGAUCGUAAGGACAUGUGGAGCGCUUAGAAGUGAGAAUGCCGGUGUGAGUAGCGAAAGACGGGUGAGAAUCCCGUCCACCGAUUGACUAAGGUUUCCAGAGGAAGGCUCGUCCGCUCUGGGUUAGUCGGGUCCUAAGCUGAGGCCGACAGGCGUAGGCGAUGGAUAACAGGUUGAUAUUCCUGUACCACCUAUAAUCGUUUUAAUCGAUGGGGGACGCAGUAGGAUAGGCGAAGCGUGCGAUUGGAUUGCACGUCUAAGCAGUAAGGCUGAGUAUUAGGCAAAUCCGGUACUCAUUAAGGCUGAGCUGUGAUGGGGAGAAGACAUUGUGUCUUCGAGUCGUUGAUUUCACACUGCCGAGAAAAGCCUCUAGAUAGAAAAUAGGUGCCCGUACCGCAAACCGACACAGGUAGUCAAGAUGAGAAUUCUAAGGUGAGCGAGCGAACUCUCGUUAAGGAACUCGGCAAAAUGACCCCGUAACUUCGGGAGAAGGGGUGCUCUUUAGGGUUAACGCCCAGAAGAGCCGCAGUGAAUAGGCCCAAGCGACUGUUUAUCAAAAACACAGGUCUCUGCUAAACCGUAAGGUGAUGUAUAGGGGCUGACGCCUGCCCGGUGCUGGAAGGUUAAGAGGAGUGGUUAGCUUCUGCGAAGCUACGAAUCGAAGCCCCCAGUAAACGGCGGCCGUAACUAUAACGGUCCUAAGGUAGCGAAAUUCCUUGUCGGGUAAGUUCCGACCCGCACGAAAGGCGUAACGAUUUGGGCACUGUCUCAACGAGAGACUCGGUGAAAUCAUAGUACCUGUGAAGAUGCAGGUUACCCGCGACAGGACGGAAAGACCCCGUGGAGCUUUACUGUAGCCUGAUAUUGAAAUUCGGCACAGCUUGUACAGGAUAGGUAGGAGCCUUUGAAACGUGAGCGCUAGCUUACGUGGAGGCGCUGGUGGGAUACUACCCUAGCUGUGUUGGCUUUCUAACCCGCACCACUUAUCGUGGUGGGAGACAGUGUCAGGCGGGCAGUUUGACUGGGGCGGUCGCCUCCUAAAAGGUAACGGAGGCGCUCAAAGGUUCCCUCAGAAUGGUUGGAAAUCAUUCAUAGAGUGUAAAGGCAUAAGGGAGCUUGACUGCGAGACCUACAAGUCGAGCAGGGUCGAAAGACGGACUUAGUGAUCCGGUGGUUCCGCAUGGAAGGGCCAUCGCUCAACGGAUAAAAGCUACCCCGGGGAUAACAGGCUUAUCUCCCCCAAGAGUUCACAUCGACGGGGAGGUUUGGCACCUCGAUGUCGGCUCAUCCGCAUCCUGGGGGCUGUAGUCGGUCCCAAGGGUUGGGCUGUUCGCCCAUUAAAGCGGUACGCGAGCUGGGUUCAGAACGUCGUGAGACAGUUCGGUCCCUAUCCGUCGUGGGCGUAGGAAAUUUGAGAGGAGCUGUCCUUAGUACGAGAGGACCGGGAUGGACAUACCUCUGGUGUACCAGUUGUCGUGCCAACGGCAUAGCUGGGUAGCUAUGUGUGGACGGGAUAAGUGCUGAAAGCAUCUAAGCAUGAAGCCCCCCUCAAGAUGAGAUUUCCCAACUUCGGUUAUAAGAUCCCUCAAAGAUGAUGAGGUUAAUAGGUUCGAGGUGGAAGCAUGGUGACAUGUGGAGCUGACGAAUACUAAUCGAUCGAAGACUUAAUCAA
RNAcentral lists this ribosomal RNA (2925 nucleotides) under Staphylococcus aureus subsp. aureus CIG1176. RNAcentral's name for it is "bacterial LSU rRNA". It matches the Rfam family "Bacterial large subunit ribosomal RNA". The record is from RNAcentral. Lineage: Bacteria; Bacillati; Bacillota; Bacilli; Caryophanales; Staphylococcaceae.